Molecule: long non-coding RNA, 865 nt
Filed under: Toxoplasma gondii VEG
Lineage: Eukaryota; Apicomplexa; Conoidasida; Eucoccidiorida; Sarcocystidae
Source: RNAcentral
CGAAACUUGUGAACACCAGUGGUGGCUUGCCUGUCAGGGAACCGUCGUUGACCGCAAGGUGACGCAGACGGAUACACUUAGAAAUGGCUUCUUCUUCUGAGCUCAUAGUGAGUCGCGUACAGCCGUGCUCGAAGCUCGGUUUUUCGAUGCCGAUCCCUUCUAUGGCAGGCUGGUAUGUGCAGGUCACGGAUGACUCUGGUAAUCUUCUCUACGCGCUCUCAACUCCUUCAUUUCCCAAACCCGCUCUGACAGCAAAGGGCCUAAUUCACGCGCUCCUAUCCACGUGCUGUUCGCACCUGGGAUGCCGGCCAACAUUGCUGCACGCGUGUCCCGAUAACGGUGAAAGUCACGACAGGUCAACUCGACCAGAGGCUAUGUUUGGAUCGUGCAGAGUGAUUUUAUCCGCAGAAGAAAUGAGCGAACCUCGCGAGGCAACGUAUAGUGAGCUCGAUAGACGCAAGAUGCGUGUGGACUCGGUUGAAAGAUACGAAACAACUGAAAGACGAGAGAGAACCAACUGUUUGACAACAGGACUCACCAGGAACCGCAGCAGUGAUGGAAUGCUCGCUGAAACAGGGCGGAGAGUUUACGUAUUUUUUCUGUGUCAAGUGAGUUCAGCAGGGUUGUCAGUGACCAAGGCGAGAACGCUUUGUGUUCUGGGUAGAGGUGGCACGAUUCAAUAAGGCGAGGCACAGGAAGGGAAAGCCUGUUUUCCAUAUAUAGUUAGCGGGUGAACGGCUCCUGCUUGACUCGUGCAUCUUUGAACAUCACGUCGAACUCGGAAAGGGUCACAUUCCACAAAUUCCCACUCAAACAGAAUUCUUCUAUAAGCAACGGCUUCGAGCGAUUCGCGGCAAUACGGCGG